RNA transcript from Rosa chinensis, 3155 nucleotides. It is a transcript of the gene named pentatricopeptide repeat-containing protein At5g01110, with no coding region annotated. The transcript has 3 exons. The record is from RefSeq and is a predicted model, not a curated record. Lineage: Eukaryota; Viridiplantae; Streptophyta; Magnoliopsida; Rosales; Rosaceae.
UAAUUUUCUAAAUAAAAUAAGCAACCCCUUGCUUUGCAGACUUUGGACUCUAGAGUUCGGAGAGAACUUGGGGAAAGAAACAAAAACGCUAAUGUCUGCUGAAGUCUGAAUUCACUCCUGAACGGGAGGGAGAGAGAGGCCACAAGAUGGGCACCCAAAGGCCAAUUCUGCAAGUGAGAACCUUCACAAGACACCCAGUGUUUCACUCUCAGAGACCCCAUUCUAUAUCUUCUUGCCCAUCAAACCGCUACUUGGAAAAUGGUGUUGCACUCGUGCAGUCCAAGCGUACCAGCCAAGAACCCUUUUUAUCAGCUUCUCUGUCAGAUUCUCUUUUGGUAGAGAAGCUUUUGUUGGGUUUGAAGCAAGGUAAUCUCAAUCAUCUGCGUAACUAUCUGUUUCGGUUAAACCCACUUCUUGUUGUUGAACUUGUUUCCCGUUGCCGUGAAAAUCUGCAUCUGGGUCUGAAAUUCGUUGACUUGAUUAUGUUAAAUUGUCCGAAUUUCAAGCACUCGUCGCAGUCUUUGAGUGCAAUGAUUCACGUUUUGGUCAGGGCCCGAAGGGCUUCGGAUGCUCAAGCUUUAAUGCUUAGAAUGGUUAGGAAGAGUGGCGUCUCCCGUGUUGAAAUAGUUGAGUCUUUGGUUUCAACCUGUAGCAGUUGCGGCUCUAGCUGCUUCGUUUUUGACUUGUUGCUUAGGACUUAUGUGCAAGCUAGGAAGUUGAGAGAAGGGUUCGAGGCGUUUAAGGCAUUUAGGAGCAAGGGAGUUGCUAUUUCGAUAAAUGCUGCUAAUAGUCUUCUUGGUGGGCUUGUGAAGGUAGGGUGGGUAGAUUUGGCAUGGGAAGUGUAUGGGGAAGUUGUUAGCAGCGGGGUUCAGUUAAAUGUUUAUACACUAAACAUUAUGGUUAAUGCCUUGUGUAAAGAUGGCAAAAUCAAUAGGGUUAAAUUGUUCAUAUCGGACAUGGCUGAGAAGGGGGUUUGUACAGAUAUUGUGACAUAUAAUACUCUAAUCAAUGCCUAUUGUCGUGAAGGGCUUGUAGAAGAAGCUUUCCUGUUGAAAAACUCUAUGGCUUCUAAGGGUUUGAGGCCGGAGCUUUUCACAUACAAUGCUAUCAUAAAUGGAUUAUGUAGGGUAGGAAAUUCUGCAAGGGCAAAGGAAGUUUUGUAUGAGAUGUUGCAGAAUGGAUUAAGCCCUGAUACUACUACCUUUAAUACACUGCUGGUUGAGAGUUGUAGAAAAGAUAAUAUUUCAGAGGCUGAAGGAAUUUUCCGUGAAAUGUCAUGUAGAGGUGUUGUUCCUGAUUUAGUCAGCUUCAGUUCAAUAAUUGGGGUGCUUUCGAGGAAUGGACAUAGUGAUCGUGCCCUAUUAUAUUUUCAAGAAAUGAAAAAUGCAGGCUUGGUUCCAGAUAAUGUGAUCUAUACUAUCCUUAUAGACGGAUAUUGUAGAAAUGGCAAGAUGUCAGAGGCGUUGAAGUUGCGGGAUGAAAUGCUUGAGCAAGGCUGCGUGGUGGAUGUUAUUACCUUCAAUACUAUUUUAAAUGGACUUUGUCGGGAGAAGAUGCUUGCUGAUGCAGAAAAACUCUUCAAUGAGAUGGUGGAAAGGGGUGUCUUUCCAGAUUUUUAUACUUUCACAACACUUAUUCAUGGUUAUUGUAAAAACGGGAAUAUGGCUAAAUCCUUAAGUUUGUUCGAGGCAAUGAUUUGUAAAAAUAUCAAGCCUGAUAUUGUCACGUACAACACAUUGAUUGAUGGAUUCUGCAAAGUAGGUGACAUGGAUAAAGCUAAGGAGCUAUGGAGUGACAUGGUUUCUAGAAGAAUAUCCCCUAAUUACAUUUCAUAUGGCAUUCUUAUCAAUGGAUUCUGUAGCAUGGGACUUGUCCAUGAGGCACUUCAUUUGUGGGACCAGAUGAUUGAAGAAGGUAUCAAACCCACUCUAGUGACUUGUAAUACUGUCAUAAAGGGCUAUAGCCGCUCUGGUGACACAGAAAAGGCAUAUGAGUUCUUAGGCAAAAUGAUUUCAAAAGGAAUUGGUCCUGAUAGUAUUACUUACAAUACUCUGAUUAAUGGAUAUGUAAAAGAAGAAAACCUGGAUAAAGCCUUUUUUUCAGUUAAGGAGAUGGAAAAGCAAGGACUACUGCCAGAUGUGAUUACAUACAAUGUCAUUCUAUAUGGGUUCUGUAGACAGGGUAGACUGCAUGAAGCUGAGUUAGUUUUGCGAAAGAUGAUUGAGAAAGGUGUAAAUCCUGAUAGAUCCACUUAUACGUCAUUGAUAAAUGGACAUGUGUCCCAGGACAAUUUGAGAGAGGCAUUCCGCUACCAUGAUGAAAUGCUGCAGAGGGGAUUUGUACCAGAUGAUGAAUUCUAGUUAUUGGUUUUUCUCUUGUAGCUCAAGGGUUCACUGGAUAUAGAGAAAAUAUACUCACUAUGAUAGCUACGAUCCUGAAUUCAGGAUACUUGAUCUUCAUCAGCUUAUCACUAGGUCUGAAGAUGUGAAAUGGCCUCAUCCCGUAGAAACUAGAAAGUUUGGAAUUGAUACUAUAAUGGGAAAGAGGCUAUUGAAGGGGAGAAUCAAAUGGGCCUUUCAUGUGCCCGCUGAAACAGAACAUGCAAAUAUGCAAGAGAGCGCUCUUUCUAGCAUUCAUUUGUUGUGCUUGGAAUAGUGCAAUAUCUGUUCUUGGUGUUCAGAAGCUAGUCUGCAGUUGAGUUUGCGGUGAUACAGCUGCUUCUGUCUCAAUUUCUAUUAUCUCCGCUGUGGCAGUUCAGGUUGGAGAGGAGAAAUUUCAGGUAUCAACGAGCCAACGAGGAUCUGUCUGAGAGAUGAGAUUUAAAGAUGGAGAGAAAUUUAUGAAUUUUCUUGUAUCCUUUUAAGAUCAAGAAAUGAGUUGUUUUGCACCCGAAGAAAACGAGUAUAAGGAACUUUUCUUGUAUCCUUUUAAGAUCAAGAAAUGAGUUGUUUUGCACCCGAAGAAAACGAGUAUAAGGAACUUGGGUAUGCACCGCUACUCAGCCGGUGUCUUCUUCUUUCUGUAAAAUUAACGGCUUAUAGUAAAUCUCAUUUUGUCCAUUUUAACUACAAAUAACUCGAUGGAAAUGAAGUGAAAUGCUAAUAUGUGGACUACUUCAAACUUUUGUUGUUUAAUUUACGGUGCAGUUUCAUUUA